GUGGUUGUAGCUCAGUGGUAGAGUGCGUGCCUUGCACACAUGAGGCCCUGGGUUCAAUUCUCAUACACA
RNAcentral lists this transfer RNA (69 nucleotides) under Ictidomys tridecemlineatus (thirteen-lined ground squirrel). RNAcentral's name for it is "Spermophilus tridecemlineatus (thirteen-lined ground squirrel) tRNA". It matches the Rfam family "tRNA". From Rfam's summary of the family: Transfer RNA (tRNA) molecules are approximately 80 nucleotides in length. Their secondary structure includes four short double-helical elements and three loops (D, anti-codon, and T loops). Further hydrogen bonds mediate the characteristic L-shaped molecular structure. tRNAs have two regions of fundamental functional importance: the anti-codon, which is responsible for specific mRNA codon recognition, and the 3' end, to which the tRNAs corresponding amino acid is attached (by aminoacyl-tRNA synthetases). tRNAs cope with the degeneracy of the genetic code in two manners: having more than one tRNA (with a specific anti-codon) for a particular amino acid; and 'wobble' base-pairing, i.e. permitting non-standard base-pairing at the 3rd anti-codon position. The record is from Rfam by way of RNAcentral. Lineage: Eukaryota; Metazoa; Chordata; Mammalia; Rodentia; Sciuridae.